AUUGAACGCUGGCGGCAUGCCUUACACAUGCAAGUCGAACGGCAGCACGGGAGCAAUCCUGGUGGCGAGUGGCGAACGGGUGAGUAAUAUAUCGGAACGUGCCCAGUCGUGGGGGAUAACGUAGCGAGAGUUACGCUAAUACCGCAUACGAUCUAAGGAUGAAAGCGGGGGAUCGCAAGACCUCGCGCGAUUGGAGCGGCCGAUAUCAGAUUAGGUAGUUGGUGAGGUAAAGGCUCACCAAGCCGACGAUCUGUAGCUGGUCUGAGAGGACGACCAGCCACACUGGGACUGAGACACGGCCCAGACUCCUACGGGAGGCAGCAGUGGGGAAUUUUGGACAAUGGGCGCAAGCCUGAUCCAGCAAUGCCGCGUGCAGGAUGAAGGCCU
RNAcentral lists this ribosomal RNA (387 nucleotides) under uncultured bacterium. RNAcentral describes it as "bacterial SSU rRNA". It matches the Rfam family "Bacterial small subunit ribosomal RNA", at positions 30 to 417 of the family's 1533-position model. The record is from RNAcentral.